Long non-coding RNA from Physella acuta, 1747 nucleotides. RefSeq lists it as uncharacterized. NCBI's taxonomy places the organism in Eukaryota, Metazoa, Mollusca, Gastropoda, Physidae. The record is from RefSeq and is a predicted model, not a curated record.
AGAUCUACAUUGGAGAUUCUAAAUCUAAAACCUAGAUCAAGAUCUAGAAGUAGAAUUUAGAUUCUAGUCCAGAUCUAUAUAGUCAAUGCCUGAAGUCUCAAAGCUAGUGCUGCCAAGCUUGCUAGGGUUGAUGCACAUCACUUGGGACUGCACAGAUGCACUAGAUGCACCUACAGUACCUGCAUCUCAGUGCACAUGCAUCGGUUGCAGCUACACUACUUCCACCAACCAUCGCAAAGAAAAUUUAGUGCUUCUGCAGUCUAAUCGCCGUAAUGCACUGAGUGGAUAGAUUGGAAGUCUUACGCAGCAGCUGAAAAAAUCUCCAGACCUACUUCAAGAAGGCAGUUUCAAGUAAGACUGGCAGUACAGGGAACUGAGGUGGAAAGUUGGAGCUCCUUCUAAUCAUGUCCCUUUGACAGAUGAAAGGACACACACCAGGAUUGACAGACAGGGAAAACCUCCUGGUGCUUCUGGCAAAUGUGUCAUGGUACAUAAUUCAACACCGCUAUCUCACAAAGGUUCAUCAUUCAUCUUAGAACAUGUUGCCAAAGCUGUCCAAAAUGUUUAUUAGCAACUGACGACAAAUGCCAUAUUGAGCAGUUGCAUGAUAGAUUCAACCCAAAUGAAAGUCUUUCUGCAUGCAUCUAGGCAUAUGGCCCCAAUCAUGGGAUUACAUGACAGUUAGUAAUACUGAAAGAUGGCUGUUAUUUCACCCAUAGCCCAACAGAAACUAGUUCAGGCUGAAGGCAGAUCAUCAUAUUUUUCUUCGGCUUUCUAAAUAGAGAAUGAUUAGGCCUACUGUAACUAUUUUGUUUUUGUAAUGUUAGUAAUAUGCAAAUGUUUUCAGAGUUGUAUACUGUACCUCUAUGUAGCUAUUUUGUAAGCUAAUUCAAUUUUUUUGUAAAUUUUACUUGACCUGUUUUGAAGUUUUUUGUUCAGGGGUACAUUUAUAAAACCUGAUUUACAAGAAUAAUUACUCCUUAAUUUCAGAAACCAAAUGAUAAUAGUAACUUCUGUACAUACUAAAACUAUUUAAUAAGCUUUUACUAGGAUAUUAUUUGAUUUAAAAGCUUUUAUUAAUUUUUAAAAUAUUUUUGAUAACUCUUAUUUACAAUUUAUUUUUAGGGGGUGCACCUCAUUAAACCUAAUUACCAAGACUAAUUAUUGCUUGAUUUGAUUGAAACUUUGAUUAUAGUAUCUUGUAUACAUUGCUUAAACUAUAUGAUAAGCUUUUGAUAAGAUAUAAAGAGUGUUUAACAGUUUUUUUUCAUUUUCAAACACGUUUUCCCCUUUUUCUCACAAUUUUGUUUUUUUACCAGUUUUAAAACUUCAAAAUUAUGAUCUCAAAUACUGUCUAUUAGAUUUCAAUGAAAUUUGUACAGUAGAAACACAACAUAAUUACUGUUAGAGUAAUAGAGACUUUUUUAGGUUAUCUUGAGUAGUUUUGUUUUUAGAGAAUUUCAAAGUUGAUUUCAUGGUUAAUAUUUUAAUCUAAAAACAAAAAAUUUGUAACUUCAACAUUUUGUCAUAUAUUCAAAAAGUCUCUCUAUUCUCCUGUUAGGAAUCCUCUCCUUUAUUUAAAUUAGAAGUUUUAAGUCAAUACAUUAAAUGGUUAUUGAGUUAAACAGAUUGAAGCAUGAUAUGUCUAAAUCAUUUAUUUCUGUAUUUUUUAAUCGGCUAACGCUGAAGACACAUUCACAUUGGUCUAAAAGUAUAUAAAAUAUCUUUAUAAUUGCAAUACAUGUGU